RNAcentral lists this ribosomal RNA (408 nucleotides) under Triticum aestivum (bread wheat). RNAcentral's name for it is "partial small subunit ribosomal RNA". The record is from RNAcentral. Lineage: Eukaryota; Viridiplantae; Streptophyta; Magnoliopsida; Poales; Poaceae.
AUGCACUGCCCGGGCCUCCCUUGCAUCCUCCUCACCGCUGAACCGGCCUCCUCUCCAUCUCCUCUGCGCCCAUGGGCCUCGACGCCCUUGUUGCUGCGGCUGCUAGACCACCACAGUGCCAUCAGGAAGACUCUGGCCACCACCGAGAACCCCCGGACCUGUCAAGACGUGUACACGGAGACCCAAGUCAGGAGACUACCGAUGGCCCUCCAAGUUCAACAAAUCGUCGACAUCGGAGUACCACUACUUCAACAGGUGUACAACUACGCGGUUUCGCUGAGUACCCCUUCGGAUUCGUCGAGUUCGACUACCCCGCAAGAACCAGAGCGCCAAGUACCUCUACCGCCGUUUUCGGAACCGCUAAGAACGGCAAGUACCUCAGCAAGUACCUUGACACCCGAUGCAUAG